Molecule: long non-coding RNA, 295 nt
Filed under: Elaeis guineensis (African oil palm)
Lineage: Eukaryota; Viridiplantae; Streptophyta; Magnoliopsida; Arecales; Arecaceae
Description: long non-coding RNA (EGUI_LNC066021)
Source: RNAcentral
AGUUAGGAUGAAUCAUAGUAGUCAGAUUGAUGUAGCUCCCUUAAUCGGUUGAGAGCCGAGGAAUUAGGGUAGUCAGUUGGGUGGCAAAGAUCUACCCCAACACGUCCCUUCCCCUUCAAGUGCAUCUUGGGCUACGUCGAGUCCACAGCCGAUUCGAUCCUUGAUGGUGCUGAUGCCCUCCAAUCCAUCGAACCCGUCGAUAAAUCUGAAGUCAUGGGCAGCACGUAGCCACCCGUACCGAAACCCGUCGGAGGUAGUGGUGCAUGCAGAAAUGGCUGGAGCCAUAGUCAUCCAC